Molecule: ribosomal RNA, 423 nt
Filed under: uncultured bacterium
Lineage: Bacteria
Description: bacterial SSU rRNA
Rfam family: Bacterial small subunit ribosomal RNA
Source: RNAcentral
GGAAUCUUCCACAAUGGACGAAAGUCUGAUGGAGCAACGCCGCGUGAGUGAAGAAGGUUUUCGGAUCGUAAAACUCUGUUGUUGGAGAAGAACACGUUUGAGAGUAACUGUUCAGACGUUGACGGUAUCCAACCAGAAAGCCACGGCUAACUACGUGCCAGCAGCCGCGGUAAUACGUAGGGGGCGAGCGUUGUUCGGAAUUACUGGGCGUAAAGGGCGCGCAGGCUGUUAAUCAAGUCAGCUGUUAAAUCGUGCGGCUUAACCGUAUGAUGCAGUUGAAACUGUUUAACUGGAGUAUCGGAGAGGUAAGCGGAAUUCCCAGUGUAGCGGUGAAAUGCGUAGAUAUUGGGAAGAACAUCGGUGGCGAAGGCGGCUUACUGGCCGAAAACUGACGCUGAGGCGCGAAAGCCAGGGUAGCAAACG